UAUAACGACUCUCGGCAACGGAUAUCUCGGCUCCCGCAUCGAUGAAGAACGUAGCGAAAUGCGAUACUUGGUGUGAAUUGCAGAAUCCCGUGAACCAUCGAGUCUUUGAACGCAAGUUGCGCCCGAAGCCAUCCGGCCGAGGGCACGCCUGCCUGGGCGUCACACACC
RNAcentral lists this ribosomal RNA (168 nucleotides) under Maclura pomifera (Osage orange). RNAcentral describes it as "5.8S ribosomal RNA". It matches the Rfam family "5.8S ribosomal RNA". Rfam says of the family: 5.8S ribosomal RNA (5.8S rRNA) is a component of the large subunit of the eukaryotic ribosome. It is transcribed by RNA polymerase I as part of the 45S precursor that also contains 18S and 28S rRNA. Lineage: Eukaryota; Viridiplantae; Streptophyta; Magnoliopsida; Rosales; Moraceae. The record is from RNAcentral.